Long non-coding RNA from Nicotiana attenuata, 488 nucleotides. RefSeq lists it as uncharacterized. The record is from RefSeq and is a predicted model, not a curated record. The transcript is spliced from 3 exons. NCBI's taxonomy places the organism in Eukaryota, Viridiplantae, Streptophyta, Magnoliopsida, Solanales, Solanaceae.
AAGAAAACCUAUUCCCUUCAUGAACGGGAAAUGGAGACGGCUGGAAAUAAAAUCGAGCAGACACAAUAUAACAAAAUCACGUAGACUUUCCGGCGAGAUAGUCUUCUUUCCCAGAGGCGUACCCAAUCAAAUAGAAACAAUAGGGCCAAUCAAAAGAUGCCUCACACAGGAGGGUCCAAAAGGCUGCAAAUGGGAUAGAGCCUAUACGAGCACAAAUUUUCUUAUUAACUCAUAAAAAAUGUAAGGAUGGUAGACCACUGGAUGAUGAUUCUGCCAAGGCAAUCGUCAUACAGUCUGAUGUCGAUAAUUUAGCGGGUCAAAGAUUUCAAUAUCAUGAAGAGUUGCAAAAAUUAUUUGAAGACUAUUAUUCGUUAGGAUUAGUCACAUAAUGACAUUAGCUAUUUACUUCAAAUAGUAUAUAAGUUUAUUUUUUAGUUACUAUGAUAUUAAUAUUUUGGAUUAGUACAUCCUUUUAUUUGUUAAUAUUU